CUUAACUAAAGGAAACACAAGUGAAACAUUAGUGCAGCCUUCUCCAAUACAGCCUGCUGCAGCUGGUGGACUACAACUCCUAUCGACAUGGUUGGAGAAGACAAUGGAGUUGUAGACCACCAACAUUUGAAAGUCACCUAGCUGAGGUAGCUUGCAUUAGAGAAAGGCCUCUGGGGCAGAAGGUAGAUUUUUCAGACUGAAGAUACCAUGAUGGAAGCAUGCUUGCUGUGUUGCUGCCCACUAAUCCCAGUAUCAUCGCAGGUUUUAAGCUAGGGUUUCCAGUUGUGUUUCCAUGGGGAGGGAGCGAAACAUCCUUCCUCUACUACGUUUGGCAGAAACCCAAGUUCCAGGUCCUGAAUCUCCAUAAACUUCCAAUGAAAUAGCAGUGGAACUACAGAAAAAGCUUUGAAAAGAGGUUUUGAAAAUGGGGAACUCAUUUUCGGGAGAAUUUCAACCAGGAAUUUAGAAGGGGUGCUUUAUUUACAGGUUCUCUCCCUCAGGAUAACCUGACAGAUUCAGAGACUCAAUGGAUAGCUUUCCAACUCUGCAAUGACAUGGAUAUGAUUCAAAAUGAUGCGAGUUUUAAAAAUGAAAGCUUACUUUGGAUGCAAUGGCUGUGCAGAAGCACUGAAUCCUAAAUCUUUUUCCACAGCCUCAAGGAAGGUUCUCUACUGGUUCGGGGGGGGGGGACCAAGGAUGGCCUAGAGAGCCCUUCACAUCUUCUUACAGCCCUGAGACAACUUGAUCCUGCCAUCCAAGGGCCCGAGGAGUUUGAAGGUGUUGGUUUGGGGGCACAGGGGAGCUAGUGAGGUGCAAACAGACCUUAAGUAGGGGAUGGAGAAGAAACUCAUCUUUGUUUGCAUUUUAAUGCAAACUACCUAAUUUGCACUUUUGAAACAAAUAUGUGAACUGGAACAUGGCUGUCCUUUGAAAUUUGCACUUGUUUGAAUUUUGAGAUGCAGUUCUCCAACCAAGCUAUAUGUACAAAACUGCAUAUGCUAGGUGGAAGUGUGCAGUAAAAAUGCUUAUAUUAGUAGUAAAAAAACCAUAUACAAAAAAACCAUUUUAUUAUGGAAAAAUGCUCGGGGAAAUGUAUAUACAGUAUUAGUCAAAACUGCAUACCAAAAUGUGUGUAUUUUGAGAAAUUUGCAUUAAAAAGCUGGUGAAGUUUCAAAAGGAGUUAUUUUUUAAAAUACAAAACAAAACUGCAAAUUCCUAUGGAAAUGUGGAUAACUGAAUUUAACAUUGGAAAAAUGAGAAACUUUGAAAGCCAAAAUUGGCAGAGUCAUCCGUUCCUACUUUAGGCUUGUGGGAUCUACUGGUUUGUUUGUUUGUUUGUUUGUUUGUUUGUUUGUUUGUUUUUAAUAGAGCCCUAAAAUCCAUCAACUAGAGCAUGAUACAAAAGACACACACUUACAAUUAAAGUAUUCUGAUCCCAGAAAUUUAUUUUGAGUACAAGAACUGUAUAGAGCUCAUAUGUUCCUGGUUUCCGCUCCUGGUUUCCCCAAGCUUUCUUCAUUUUAGCAGUAUAGUUUUAGGAUAGGGAGAGGCAUUUUGCUGCUUUUACUAAACAACUGAGAGUCAGAAAUCCUUGAUCUACUGCUAAUCACCCAGAGAUCUACCAUUAGAUCUAGACCUGCUUCUUCCCACUCCUGCUCUAGGUCACUGGUACCCAUGGGAGUGUCAUGUGUACACCUUUAUGUUGGCUUAGUUUAGGUAUAACUGAUGGAGUAUUAAUGUUAAAGGGAAACCUUUGCCAGAGUAGUAAGUUUGCUGCAGAUGCUUAGAUUAAAAAUAAAAAGAGAUGGGGGAAGAACUUAAGUGUCUGGGGGAAACCCCCCAGCCCAGGAAGGCUAAUAUAGUCAAGCUAAGGGAGUAUGAAAUGAUGGAGAGAGGGUAAUAGAAAAUACAACAUUGAAAAGCUAGAAAACGAAAAAGCAACGAAGGCAAGAACGAGGUGGAUGUCUUCAGUGCAAAGCAGAAAAGGAAGCCAGUGAAGAAAACUCAAAAUAUGUGCUCAGGCAAUUGACACAAGCAAGCAGACUCAGUCCUCUAAUCUUUUCUAAGCUCUAGCUUGCAGUUUUCAAAGCUGGCUAGCUAACCACUCAGCCUUCAUUCAUUUCAAUAGGAAUUGCGUGUCUAACACCCUCUGCAAGCUGGAGAAUCCCAGCCCACAGCUAUGGCUUUCACACUCAUUGAUGUUCAGCUGAAUGUUUCCUUAGCCACCUCUAGCAAGCCUUUCUUCACCAUCUUCUGCACUGAUCUAAUAAGCAUGUGAUUCUGUAUGAACUUACUUCAUCUCGCAAGUUUCAAAGGCAAACGUGCUUCUCCCAAGCCAGAGAGAGACUUCCCACCUCAACCAAACAAUCUCCUCCCUUUAUUGGCCUCUCUGUAUCAUUGAUUUUGUCCUUGAUCCUGAUUCCCAAACGUCCCAUCUGCUGUAGCCUUCAAAUCUAUGCAAUGCUGCUCUCUUCUGCCGCUGCCAGCAUGAGAUCCUCCUGCAUACUGGGCAUUAAUCUUGCAUCACAAAGCUAAAUACAUAAUGCAAAUUCUGUUAAAAGUAAUAGGACAAUCCCAGGUAUAUCACAAUAUCACAGUAUCACAACCAGGAAAAAAGCCAACCGGGCUCAAAUUUGUGGGAAGCAUAUCAUGGGACUUUUGAGAAAUAUACAUAUUUAGCACACUCCACAUUCCAUUUACAUGGACCUAGUGCACCUUUUUUCAACUGUUAAUUAUUAAAGGUUUUUUUCCUGAAGUGGUUUUCUAGAAGCAUUUACCCGAAACGUGAGAAAUCUUAUGCCAGAGGCUUCUCCUGUCCCCAAACUACUUGAGAAGCACAGCCAAUCCCGGUUUUGCCAAAUAGUUUUUAAGUUCACCAUAGGUAUUAGUGCAUGUUUCCAUAAAAUUGUGGGCUGGAAAGUUGCUUUUUUCCAAGAAAAUUGAAAAGUAGGAUUCCAAGAUUACACAAGCCAUAUAAAAAUCCCACAUGAGCUUUAGGUCUACCUCAACUUAGAUGCCCUGUGCUGAGGAAAGAAAGUGUUUAGGUCAAUGUUUCCCAAACUUGGGUUUCCAGCUGCUUUUGGACUACAAUUCCCAUCAUCCCUGAUCACUGGUCUUGCUAGCUAGGAGUGAUGGGAGUUGCAGACCAAAAACAAGUUGGGACCCACUGAUUUAGGUGAAAUUCCAUCAUCUUCUUUUUGUUGUUGCUGCUGAGUAGGGUGUCAGAGGACCAGAAGUCACAGUUCCUCUUCAUCAGGUGAUGGAGAUGAGGACUGUGAACCUGAAGGGGAAGGGCACAGAGGGCGAGCUGUACCUGCUCCUACCCCUAUCCAAGGGCUCAGUUUCAUUUUGCUCCUUGCUGGGGCAACCUCAGAGCCCUGUGUCCCCCAGAGCACUCCCUGUGCCUUGCAUCCAGCCUUAAACCUGCCUUACCUUUUCUUACGCCCCACCUGAGCUUUGCCUUGCCACCCCACAGGAUUUAGACAGGUUCAGUCUCACAUUCAGGGCUUCCAAAC
Molecule: long non-coding RNA, 3515 nt
Organism: Podarcis muralis (Common wall lizard)
Lineage: Eukaryota; Metazoa; Chordata; Lepidosauria; Squamata; Lacertidae
Source: Ensembl